GAAAAUGCAUUGUAGUGAUAUGCUGACAACUUUAUAUUUUGAUAUUCAUCCUCUUUUCUUUUGAAUAUCAAGUGUUGUGGUAAGGCCAGUUUCUAAAUAACCUUAUAUUUUGUAUCCUUUCAUGUGUUAUUUGAGUACAUUGGUUGUAGUUUCACUUUUCAACUUGUGGCCUUAAUCAUGUAUCAUUCAGAAGUGGCCAACAUCUAUGAAUACUGAAAAAUUUCAAAGUUUAGAUAUGGACAGAUGAUGGAUUUAAAACAUGAGUUAUAGUUCUUUUGAUACAAUUGUUUUAUAUUUAAUGACAUUCAAAAUUACUGGAUAAAUUGUUGUCCAUGUUUAUGUAAAGCUUUAUUGAAGAACUGGAAUAAGAUGUCCCUGGUCUGGUUGUACCAAAUAUGGCUAAGGCCAUGUAUGUAUGGCCUGUAGAAAUUCUUAAGUGCAUCCAGUAAUUCAAGCUUAUUAUAAUGCAUGUUAACACAAGGUGCUGAAUACUGGGAUAUUGAUUUCACAUUUUCUGAAGAUGAUAAACUUCAUGAGAAAAAUUGGUAUGAUUUGUGUGACUCUGAUCAAACAUUUACAUCAUAUUACCGGAAACUAUGGUUCAUGUUAAGUGCUAAAAUAACUUUGUGGAUAUUUUUAUUCCCCACCUACGAAAGUAGACGAGGCAUUGUGUUUUCUGCUCUGUGGUUCUGUUUGUCCUGUUUCACUUCAGGUUAAAGUUUUUGGUCAAGGUAGUUUUUGAUGAAGUCCAAUCAACUUGAAACUUAGUACACAUGUACAUGUUACUUGUGAUAAUUUUCUAAUUUUAAUGCUAAAUUCAAGAUUUGACCCCAAUUUCACAGUCCACUGAACAUAGAAAAUAUUAGUCGAGUGGUUCAUCCCUGUACUUUGGACACAUUCUUGUUUUGUAUCCAAGACUAAAAUAUCAAUACACAUCUAACAUCCUAUAAAAUUAUUGAAAAGACGCCAUUAACAGUCAAGAGAAAAAACAUGACCAUGUGCAACGCCAAAAUUUAGGUAUUGGCAGAUUGUCUGUGAACGCUCAAACAUCCCUCAUACGAAACAGUGGUGUGUCAGUAAAACAGAAAAAUGAAUUCUCAACGUCAAUAAGAAAGGGCAUCAAUAAUCAGAUCUGCAUCAAGCACACACAUUCCCAACAAUCGAAAACCAGAUAGAAGAGUACUCUCAAAAUCUAGAUCAAAGCCAAUUCAAACUAUUGAUAAAUCAUGUUUUCCCAG
RNAcentral lists this long non-coding RNA (1238 nucleotides) under Mytilus galloprovincialis (Mediterranean mussel). The record is from RNAcentral. Lineage: Eukaryota; Metazoa; Mollusca; Bivalvia; Mytilida; Mytilidae.